AGGAUGAACGCUGGCGGCGUGCCUAAUACAUGCAAGUCGAACGGAGCCUUCGGGCUUAGUGGCGAACGGGUGAGUAACACGUUGGUACCUACCCUCUAGUGGGGAAUAACUGCCCGAAAGGGUGGCUAAUACCGCAUGACACCUGUGGGUCAAAGGCGCGAGUCGCCUGGGGAGGAGCCUGCGUACGAUUAGCUAGUUGGUGGGGUAAAGGCCUACCAAGGCUACGAUCGUUAGCUGGUCUGAGAGGAUGAUCAGCCACACUGGGACUGAGACACGGCCCAGACUCCUACGGGAGGCAGCAGUGGGGAAUAUUGGACAAUGGGCGAAAGCCUGAUCCAGCAAUGCCGCGUGUGUGAAGAAGGUCUUCGGAUUGUAAAGCACUUUCGGCGGGACGAUGAUGACGGUACCCGCAGAAGAAGCCCCGGCUAACUUCGUGCCAGCAGCCGC
Molecule: ribosomal RNA, 447 nt
Filed under: uncultured bacterium
Lineage: Bacteria
Description: SSU rRNA
Rfam family: Bacterial small subunit ribosomal RNA
Source: RNAcentral